UACGUAGGCAGCAAGCGUUGUUCGGAGUUACUGGGCGUAAAGGGUGCGUAGGCGGUCCUAUAAGUAUGGUGUGAAAUCUCCCGGCUUAACUGGGAGGGUGCGCUAUAGACUGUGGGACUAGAGUGUGGGAGAGGAAAGUGGAAUUCCUGGUGUAGCGGUGAAAUGCGUAGAUAUCAGGAGGAACACCGGUGGCGAAGGCGGUUCUCUGGGCAUGUCCUGACGCUGGAGGAGCGAAAGUGUGGGGAGCGAACAGG
RNAcentral lists this ribosomal RNA (254 nucleotides) under uncultured bacterium. RNAcentral describes it as "partial 16S ribosomal RNA". It matches the Rfam family "Bacterial small subunit ribosomal RNA", at positions 524 to 776 of the family's 1533-position model. The record is from RNAcentral.